Molecule: ribosomal RNA, 164 nt
Filed under: Arachis villosa
Lineage: Eukaryota; Viridiplantae; Streptophyta; Magnoliopsida; Fabales; Fabaceae
Description: 5.8S ribosomal RNA
Rfam family: 5.8S ribosomal RNA
About the family: 5.8S ribosomal RNA (5.8S rRNA) is a component of the large subunit of the eukaryotic ribosome. It is transcribed by RNA polymerase I as part of the 45S precursor that also contains 18S and 28S rRNA.
Source: RNAcentral
GAACGACUCUCGGCAACGGAUAUCUCGGCUCUUGCAUCGAUGAAGAACGUAGCGAAAUGCGAUACUUGGUGUGAAUUGCAGAAUCCCGUGAACCAUCGAGUCUUUGAACGCAAGUUGCGCCCGAAGCCCUUAGGCUGAGGGCACGCCUGCCUGGGUGUCACCAA